ACACAGACUCACAGACACAUACACACACACACACACUAAAUAUAUAUACACAUACACACAGGCACACACAUACACAUACACAAUACACACACACACAUGCACAAUAAAUAUAUAUACACAUACACAGACACACAUGUACACAUAGCACACAUGCACACACAUACACAUACAAAAUACACACACACACACACACACACACACAUGUGCAUGCAUUCGUGAGCUGGAAGUGUAUAGCACAGGAUCAGGCUUGAUGAUGGGGCCUCAGCAGAGACUUGACCUUUACACCCAUGUCAGGCUGCCUGACACACUUGGUCUAUCCUUGGCUUUGUAGAGAAACCAAGUGCCUGUCCCCUCAGGUCUGUGUUUUGUCUGGGGUUUACAACCCACUCUUCUGCUCCCCUAGGUCCUGGGGCAGCUUCUACUGUUCACCCGAGGGUUCCAGGUGCUCCCUGAGUUCUGUAGGCAACACAAAGUCAGCCAGCAGAGGAUCUAGAGACGGGCAGGAGGAGCCCACCCCACCUCUAGCUGGGUACACAGCAUGAACUGCUGAUUCAUGGACACUGGUGAGGCUUGGGCUGCUCAUACAUCCUCUCAUCUCCAGCUGUCGGCCAAAGCGUAAUUGUAGCUGUCACUUUGGCAGCAAGAUGCUGUGAUGUGUCCUAAAACAACUGCCUCUGCUCUGCAGCAGAGCUCUUGGGAGGUGGGAGGGAUCUGCAGCUGCUCCCUUGGAGAGAGCCAUUCUGGAAAUCAAUCUGCAUGAGAUUUGUCCAGGUGCAGUCCCAGGGCAGUGUGAGCCCCAGGGAGGGGCCCUGUGCUGGAACCAGCUGGGUGCUGCCUACGUCAGCAUCUUCCGGAACGCCGUCCUGAUGGCAUCCAUUAAUGAGAGACAGGCUGCCGUUGGAGGGAGGCAUUGCUGGCAGCUCUGAGGAGUUGGAAAGCAGCCUUUAGACAAUGCACGAGUUGGACUCCAGGGUGAAUGGAUAGUUAGAUAGUGGCGGAGGGAGGUAGUGCCCGAAACAAAGCUGGGACCAAACUGAGAAAGAAGCGAGGACGCUGAGGGCCGGACCUGCAGCUUGGACUGCAUCCUGGAAGCAACUGAGAGUCUCUGGAAGCCUUAGAGGAGACGGUGAAGUGGAAGUGAUGGAGGCUCUGUACUCAGUGGAUCAUUGCAUCGGGGAACCUCAUCAUGCCAGCAGAGAGCAGAGGCCAGCAAGGGUUGCUUAGGAAGACCGAGGACUAGGAAGUGUUUGGAGCCGUUCCCAGGCGCUGACCCACCCCCGAGCACGGGUGCCAGCACAUAUCUGGACCAUCGUGUAAGUCGGGAGGAAGACACAACUCAGUCAACAAAUAUUUGGUGUACCUCCUCGGAAGUGAGCUGUUGCGCAAGCAGCGGUUUGGCAGUGAUUCUCCUGUUCAGCUGCAAGCUGCGCAGGGCAGGAUGCCUUUCAGGAGGAGGAGGGGCAGGUGGAAUCGUCUUCCCACUCCUGUGUGAUCCUCUGUGGGAUGUUCCCUGCUCUGGGCUGCCAGCCGCUAGGCCAGUACUGAGCAGUGAGGAAAUCCUGCCACCACAGUAGCUCAUUCAGUAGGGUUACUGUCGGUGGGCAGGGCCUGAGCCUCUCUCCAGAAUUCAGGCAGCAUGUCACAACAUGUAGUAGGCCCCUGUGACUGCCAUGGCCAAUUUGGAGCAACAUAUCAAGAUGUAGUUUUGCCUAUUUGGUACAUUUUUCCCUUUAAAAAAAAAAAAAAAGAAUCACAAGAUUUUAGAAUUGGAUGCAGUGUCUUGAGACAGGGUCUCCCAGAAUCUGUCUCUGUUUUUUGUUUGUUUUUGUUUUACGGGACAGGGUUUCACUGUGUAGCCCUGGCUGUCCUGAAAUGCACUCUGCAGACCAGGCUGGCCUCGAACUCACCUGCCUCUGCCUCCUGAGUGCUGGGAUUAGGGGUGUGAGCCACCACCGCCUGGUUUAUCUCUGCUUUUCAGUGCAGCCAUGACCAGCUUUCUUCGUGAAUGCUGAGGAUUCAAACCCAAGUCCUCAUGCUUUCUCUUACCCACGGGACUGUCUCCAUAGUCUCUUGUUGGGCUUUGAGACAAGGUCUCAUGGAUGGCCUGGAACUCACUAUAAUAUCAGAAGAUGACCUUGAACCUCUGAUCCUUCUGCCUCACAAGUGUUGAGAUUACGGGCAUACUCUACCAUGCCUGGUUUUAUCCAGUGUUAGGGAAUGGAACCCAGGGCUUUGUGCAUGCUAGGCAAGCACUCUACCAACUGAACUACAUCCUCAGGUGUUUUGGAGACAGGGUCUCACAAUAUAGUUGAGACUGGCCUCCAGCUCAUCAUUCUCCUGCUUCAGCCUCCUAAGCACUAGAAUUGCAGCUGCAAAUACAUUAAAAAAAAAAAAAAAAAAAAAAAAAAAAACUAAACAGGCCUUCAUCUUAGAAACACUGAGGCUUCCACGUACUAUGGACAGAAGGAUGGACAGAAGAAUGGCUGAGACAGCCCGUCAAGGGUACUUGCAGGUGUGAACUCUUAGAAGUUUACACCCCAUAUAAAUAGGAAAAGAGUGACAGAAACACAAAUCAAUGUCUGUGAAGACAGAGGAGUUUACUUCUCACUAAAAACCGGGGUGUGGUGGCAAGGGUGGGGGGUAGAGAUGGCUUGCCACCAAGUCUGAUGACCUGUAUUUGAUCUCUGGGACCCACAUGGUAGAUGGAGAGAAGAACUGAUUUCUUAAAGUUGUAGUCUGACCUCUAGACAUGUGCUGUGAGUGGCAUGUGUGUAGGGACAUGCAUGAGCACACAUGCACAAAAUAAGUAAAUAAAUAUAUGUAAUUAAAAAAAAAAAAAAAAAACCUGCCGGGCGGUGGUGGCGCACGCCUUUAAUCCCAGCACUCGGGAGGCAGAGGCAGGCGGAUCUCUGUGAGUUCGAGGCCAGCCUGGUCUACAGCGCGAGAUCCAGGAAAGGCGCAAAGCUACACAGAGAAACCCUGUCUCGAAAAACCAAAAAAAAAAAAAAAAAAACCUGCUGGAGAGAGGGUUCAGUGUGUCAGACACUUGCUGUGCAAACGUGAGGACCGGAAGUCAGGUUCUGGGAAUCUGCAUACUGCCAGAAGCAGUAGCAUGAACACAUGACCUCAGCGCUCCUCCCAGUGCUCCUAUAGCAAGCUGUGAGGUUGUCCCCAGAACCUCACAGACCGGCUAGGCUGAGUGUGCAGAGGAGAACAGAAAACCCUCCUGUCUCAACCAAGGGGGAAGGCAAGGACUGACUGACACCCAAGAUUGUGCUCUCACCUCCACUUGAGUGCCACGGCAUGCACGUGCCCAAAUUCACACACACAUGCAUGCACACACAUCAUAUGCAAACACACACACACACACACACACACACACACACACACACACACACACACACAGUAGUAGCCCAUGUUCAUAUUCCCAGAACUUGGGAGGUAGAGUCAGAAGGAUCAGGAACUCAAGGUCAUUCUCAGUUACGAAGUGAGCUCCAGGCCAGCCUGGGCUACAGGAGGUCCUGUCUCAAAACCAAACGCCUCUGGUGUGGGCUUGGGUGUGGUUUGGUAGCAGAGCAUUUGCCUAACAUGCACCGACUCUGCUUCCAUCCCAGCCUGCAAAAGAAAAGAGCGCUUCAGUGGCUCCAAAUAAGACCAAACAUCACUGACCUCACACUUCCUGUGGAUCAGGAUUCGGAAGUGACUUAGGCACGUGUGUGUGUAUGUGUGUGUGUGUGUGUGUGUGUGUGUGUGUGUGUGUGUGUGAAGAAGCUUCAGUCAGAAUGGGGACUGUGGUCAUUUGAAGGCUUGAGUGGGGCUACAACAUGCUGAGAAGUUGGUCUUUGCUGUUGGCAGGAGCCUGGGUCCCCUGUGACCUUCAUCCACGCAGUCACUUGAGUGAACCUAAAGCAUGGCCUCUGGCCUUUGCUGGCCUAGGGCAAACAAUCCGAGAAAAAGCAAACCACAAUUAAUGUUUUUUAUGAUACUGUUACAGAAGUGACAUGCUCUACUUCCUAUGGCUAUCUUUCUGUGAUAGCUCAGGUUAUUGGUUAAACAGGCCAGUCCUACUGAAUGGAGAGGAGAACGGAAUAAGAAAGAAUAUCAGGAACCGAGGGUCACCGGGAGUCAUCUUAGAAACUGCCAACCAUAUUUGCUGUCCUCAAAAAGAAGCUUCUGCGUAGAGUUCCAAGAUGGCUGCUCUAAUUCCAGCUGUCAGUCAUAGACAAUGCUUUGCAAUUAAGGUGAACAAGGAAGAAGGAAGGCAGGACAUGUUUUUUUUUUUUUCUCUUAAGGAUGCUUUCUAGAUGUUGGACACAACGUUCUACAUGUAUCUUAUUAAUCAGAAUUUGUUCACAUAGCUGCAAAGGAGGCUGGCAAAUUUAGUAUUUAUUCUGGGAGAGUCUGUGUUUGGCUAGUCUGUACACUGGAGGACAAGUGCAGCCUCUGCCACACUGGCACUGUCCCAGAGUACAUUACAAAGGUUAGGGGGUAGGGGACAGAAAGAACAUCACAGACCUUGGGUUUCUGACCUGGAUAAGAACUUAUGAGCUUUCUUGGCUGGUGUGUGUGUGUGUGUGUGUGUGUGUGUGUGUGUGUGUGUGUGUGUGUGUGUGUUAGAGAAGUACGUAUUAGUAAUUCAUGAAUCUCAAUGUAAAGAGAAAGCUCAGGAGACAAAUGGGCAUGAAAAACAAACUCAGGGGAGGGCAAGAUGACUCAGAGGACAAAGGUAAUUCUGACAAUCCUGAGGACCUGAUUUUAAUCCUUGGGACCCUCAUGGUGAAAGGAGAGAACUGACUUCUACCAGUUGUCCUUACACUUCCAAAUGGGUGUUAUGGCAUGUACACACACACACACACACACACACACACACACACACACUAAAUGAAAACAAAGUAGACCCAGUUCUUGAAGCCCAGCCCAGGGUGGUCCUAAAAAUGCAGCAGAUCCCCAAAUGAAAGCCCAUCACGGGAGGCCUGGUGAGAGCAGCUUCCUUGUGUACGCACAACUGCAGGUUUAAAUAAAUUCCAGGCUGCCGAGUAACGGAUCCAAAUGCAGAAGCACAGAUGGGCAGUUCCACCAGCUGUGUUUUGAAAAAGAUCAUAUGAUUCCUGAUCAAUGAACCAAAGAGACCAAAUGCAGGCAAGCUCAGAGUUGAGCAGCAGUGUUGCCCUGAGACCUCCUGGAGGCCACAGCCAGGACCCUAGCAGCCUGACUCCACCAGGAAGUGUGUGAGACACCAAAGCCUGGCCACACAGAGGAUGAGCUCUCUAUUUCUCUGACAGCUGGAGGAUGACCAGGUUCUGGCUUCACUGACUGGCCAAUGACAGCAACCCCCUGGCUUAGAAAAAAAGCAAAAUCUGCAAACAGAAAACUUAGUUUUGGCACCCAAAGUACAGCAGGGUCUCUGAUGAGGCCAUUCUGGUGGAUCUGCUGGUUGUCCUGCUAUGGGCAACAUGGACAUUGGGAACCUAACUGAAGAUGGGGGUGAAGACAUUGGACUGAGUGAGGACUCUGUGAUACUCAUUGUAUGGAAGGUAGUGUAGGGUAUUCUACCUACCUGACUGUGCCCACGCUCCUUGUCCAUGAUUGAGGGAGGUGGCCCAAGCUAGAUGAGGUCCUGGGUCCUGUAUUCCCAACUGGCUAUCUAUGUCAGGUCCUGUGUUCCCCUGCUUGCUUGGGUCAAACUUACACUUCCCAACACACUGGGCUGUCAAUCACCACAGCAAACAUUCUUCUAACCUCUUCCUCCUCUGUCUUGCUCAGUGUCCCAUGUUCACCAACAAGGUUUGGAGGACCUCUGUGGACUUCUCAUUAGAUUGCCCUUUCAAGAGAGAUCGCUAUGGAGGGUGGAGCUGAAGCUAAGUUGGAAGAGGGCUUGCCUGCCUCAAUUGCACUAAGUCCUGGGUUCUAUCCUGAGCUCCACAUGAAUGGGGUGUAUGCCUGUAAUCCCAGCACUCAGGAGUAUCAGAAAGCCAAGGUAUCCUUGGCUACAUAGCAAGCUUGAGACCAACCUGAGCUGUAUGACACUGAGAGAGAGAGAGACAGAGACAGAGAGAGAGACAGAGACAGAGAGAGAGAUGCAGUCAAUGGCUGAGUCCAGUCUCCAACCUUGUGGAGAAGGAAAACAGAAGGUUGUAGGGUGACUGGACUGGCAGGGUGUCGCGGUUGAGCUAUGGGGAAGGAGAGCAAAGUGAAGAGCCCAGACUGGCCUUUGCUAGCUACAGCUCUGUUGCACCAAUGUUUAUCCAGCACCUGCUCAAUCAUAAAGACAAUAGCCACAUCCCAUAUCCUGGGGACCCAGAAUAGAGGAAGACUCUAUGACAUCAUCACCACAGACACAUAAACAAAGGAAAACAGUAGAGAAUGUAACAUGUAGAGAUGGGUUAAGAGCAAGGCCCCCCAAAAGAUGGAUCUGUACUGGGGAAGCUGCGAGGGAAGGAAGCCCAGAGGACCUGACACCUGCAGGAAGGACCAGGCAUCUAAGGAAGGGUGCAUCCCUGCACCUGCAAACUCCCCAGGGCAGAGGUUAGGGGAAUCCCAGACCUGCUGUGUUCCUUGCUCUCUGAAGUCUCUGGUUCCCUGGGGGUAAGUGUGGCCUUGAUCUUUUGCCAUGGAGCAACCCAGCAGGGUCAAGGGAGGGGCAAAGCUGAAAAUGGUCUGCCAUUAUCUGCUGGGCUCCUUGUUGUCUUUGGAUCUUUGGUAUCUGACCGUGAUGGUGGAGGAACCUGUAAAUUGAAAAGGUUGUGGGAUGAAUCUGUCCUUGGAGAAUUUUCCUGAGUUCUAGUCCUUCUCCAUAGAAGUCACCCAAGGGACCUAGGCAGACUCUCAGGCCCAACUGCACAGCCACCUCUAGUGGUACAGGAGACAAAGCUUGAAGGUGUAUUAGAUGAGCCACUGUGGCCUAUUUCUUGUCAUCAGAUCCAGUCCCCAAGAUCUCUGGGUCCUUUAAGAAGCCAUGCAAACCCCCUCAUCACCUAAACACCCACCUGGCCCCUGCAGCCAGUUCUACAGUACAAAAAGGACCACAUUCAUGCUCUAGCCUUAUAUGCUGUGCAAGCUUGCUUUCCUUCUAAGACCCAGGAAUGUGAGAUGCUAGUAAGCGAUCAGAUGGCUUCAACCUGAAGGGCUUCUCAGAAAUCAUUCUAGAGAAUUAAGGAAGCAUGGGCUCCAUCAGGUCCAGAGGGCCCCAGGUCCUCUGAGAGUCAAGGUGGGCAGGUGAGACCAGAGCUACCCUUGGACAUCUAGAAAACCUCUUUUGGCUGUUGUUCUUCUCGCUGGGACGUGCAAUCAGUUUCUUGGCAGCCCUGGGCAGGUUCUAUCCCCCUGGAUCAGGAACAAAUUGAAGGCCUUACCUGCUGUCCUAUGAACCUCACCAGUACCCCAUAUUCUCUUUCUGCAGCCCAGUGUGUGCCCAUCGUGGUGUGUGUGUGUGUGUGUGUGUGUGUGUGUGUGUGUGUGUGUGUGUGUGCAUGAGUGUGUGCACAAAUGCAUAUGGAGAACAGAGGUCAACCACGAGUAGCUUCUUCAGUCACUCUCCACCCUUUUCCUUGUUUUUUGAGAUAGUGUCUCUCAUUUUUAUCUGGAAUUUCCAAUUCCAUUAGGCUGACUGGCCACCAGCUUUAGAUAUCCACCUAUCUCUGCCUUCCCACUUCUGGGAUUACAAGUGCACACAACCACUCCUGGUUUGUUAUGUGCACUCCAGGGCUGGACUCUGAGCUUGUGUUGACUGAGCCAGGCAUUAACUUUUGUUUGUUUGUUUAUUGUCCUCCCCCACACACACAAGAUCUCCCAUAUUCACCCAGAGCCCUGGAUUUCUCUUUUGUCACAUCCAAUUGCACUCUUGUUACUGUUGGCAUCAAUUGUCCCACCUGACCAGGCCCAGCUUCAGCGCUGUCUCACCUACCAAGUUUUUCUUGUCAUCCUCUGUCCUCUGAACCCAUGACCUAAGGGCUGGAGCUUUUAUUGGAUUUGCAUCUUUAAUUACAGGAGCCAUACAUGCUUGUAAAAACAUUCCCACAUUACAGAUGCGUGCUCAGUAAAACAAGUGUGUCAUCCUGACCUCCUUUUCCCUAGGGCUCACUGCAGUUAGCUGGAAAUACACAUGGGGACUGGUGGUCUCUUGGGGACCUUCCCUAACUACUUGAUGUGGGAUGACAGAGUAGGUGGAAGUGAUCAGUCAGUGGAAGCUUCCAGAGUGUGGUGAUAUGGGUUGACUUAGAAAACCCUCAAGGUCAGUCUGUGGGACCUCUUGAUUCCUUUUACAAGACAGUUCAAAGCGCAGAGCCCCAGGGAGGUAUUCCUAGCUCAUGUGGGAAUAAGCAUUCUAAUUCACCCAAGAGCCAGAAACUCAAGUUCAAAAAGCACACAGGUCUCCAGAGAAUGCCCUUGGCCUAGUGUAGCCAGCCAGAACAAGCCUAGGCAGAACUGACUCUAAGUUUGGCCACUUUCUCAUUGUGGUCACUUGGUGAGAUGGAGAAGGGCAGGUUGUGAAGCCCUGCCUUUCUUAGGAGAGGUUGUAAGAACCAUAGCUGUGCUGGCAUGUCCUUCUCCAGGGAGAAGGGAUUGAACUAUAUUAAUACCAUAUUAGGUCACUCUACCCCAGCUUAAAGAUGGCCUGGAAGGCUCAACCAAGGUGUUAGCAUAUCAACUAGAACUUAAAAGAGAAGUAAGCAGAGUGGCCAAGAAGAGGGGAGGAUGAUCUGGUGGUGGUGGUGGUGCACGCCUUUAAUCCCAGCACUCAGGAGACAGAGGCAGGGGGAUCUCUGUGAGUUUGAGGCCAGCCUGGUCUACAGAGUGAGUUCCAGAAUAGCCAGAGCUACACAGAGAAACACAACAAAAACAACAACAAUGAGAGAGAGACAGAGAGAGAGACAGAGAGACAUAGAGAGAGACAGAGACAGACAGAGACAGAGACAGAGACAGAGACAGAGACAGAGAAGGGCAGCAUCUCCUCCAAGAGAGGCCACAGACAUUGUAAAAACUGAAAAUUCAGGAUGUGAUUAAGUGGAGUUAACUAUUGGGGUAUGUAGACCUUCUCUGCCAAGCCAAGAGGUCAAACCUUUGUCCCAAUGAUCAAGAUGCAUUAAGAAAAGCUUGACAAGUUUAGGUAAAUGAUAGUGGUGGCCAAGACCAGGGUCCCAGCUUAGAAUUCAAUAUAGCAUGCAAGGGAAGGGGGAAAAUGAAGAGGAUUCAGGCUUUAUGGAUGAGGGUGUAGAUCCUAGACCCACAGAAGCAUUAAGCAAAUAUUUCUAUGAAUAGUUCUAUGUUUAAUGUAUCAUAUCAUAAUUGCAUUUUGACCAAUUUUAUUUCUCAAAUGGACAAUCAUACUUGUGUAAUAAUGUUAAAACAACCUUCUUUUGUAAUAUACUGCCAGUAUAUGUGUAUGAUCCAUGGUUUGAUGAUAAGUGAUUGAAGAAAUGAAGAAAGCUUUAAGCAGGUAAAAUCAUGUUGCUGGAUUAGUUAUAGCAGGAAUUGCAGCUCUUGUUACUAUGCUUGCUACUAUUACUGUUGCUUCAGUGGCUUUGUCUCAAUUCAUUCAGACAGCAGGGUUUGUUAAUCAAUUGUCUAUGAAUGUUUCUAGGACAUUAGAGAUUCAAGAAGAUAUAGAUGUAAAAAUGGAACAUAAAUUGAAUGUUUUGUAUGAUGUGGUACAAUUUCUGGGAGAUGAACUCCAAAGCCUGAAAACUAGAGUACAUUUGACAUGUAAUGCUAAUUAUGAAUGGAUUUGUGUUAGUCUUCUUCGUAUAAUGAAAGUGCUAUUGGGUGGGAAAGAGUCAAGGCACAUCUUAAAGGAAUUUGGCAUGAUUUUAAUGAAUCCUUAAAUUUGGAUUAUAAUCCAAUAUAUAACAUCAAGAGAUUAUAGAAAUGAAAAAAGGCUAAAUUGGAUUUUGAUGCAGUUAAAACAGCUGAAGAUAUUCCAGAACAAGUCAAAAGGGCGAUCCCAUCAUGGUCAUCAUUUACUUCGCUCUUAAGUAGUGCUGUAGUUGGUGGAGCAUGUGUCUUAGUAGGCAUAAUCUGUUUGCCUAUGAUUCUCAAGCUGAUUUUGAACUUGUUAUGGAGAAUGGGUUCAGAAUUCCAUUCAAUAAAACUCCACACAGUCCUCUGACUUGACACCAGAGGCUGGUAGCCAAAGACGGGUAAGUUUUCUUUGCCUCCUUUCAACCUAAGACAGGACAUGAAUGAUGGAAUUCAUGCUCCCAAGACAGGUAAGAUUCAAGUGUGGUAAGGAAAGAACCUAAGACAGGCACUAAGAGAGACUCAGUGGAAUCUUAAAUAAAAAGAGAGGAAUUGUGGGAGCCCACAACUGACUCAGUUUCCCAAUCUGAUUCUGAAGUCUAUUCUGAGUCAAUAGAGUUCAAGCUUGUUUACUCUAGGGCUGGGAAAAUGUCCUGAUUAGCCCACAGAGUCUCCUUGAAGGGCUGUGAGAAAGUCCUGAUUAGCACACAGGAAGGACCAUACUAUCUAGCUACAUGUAGGCUGCUGAUGCCGACCAGAGGUACAUCAAGAUAGAAAAUGAAACUGCCUGCUCCUUGAUGCAAGGCAGGAUAGAUAGUGGUUGAAUGCCUGUGCUGUGCAUUGUUCUACCUCUGUCCUUCAAAACUGUAUAUAAGCUGGCUAUGAAAUAAACUCGGGGUGUCCAGCAUUGACUGGCAGACCUCUCAACUCUUUUCUGUCUUCUCUACAAUCCACAUGCCUCUACCCAACUACUCAGCUGACUGGUCGGCAGGCUCCAACAGAUGCUGUCUGAAAAUUGGGGCAUUGGGCUGUGAGUAUGGUGAGGUAUAUGCACUGGAACCAAAAGUCUCCAAGUCUCUAGUGCCCUGAGUGACUUUGACAUGGCUUUCCUCUCCAGGCCUCUACCUCCAGCCCCAAGACCUUUGCUCACACUCUCGACUCAUUGUCUUUCUCUUCUUUGUCUACAGGGUACCUGCUUAUCCUUACCUUUUGUGCUUUUCCAAGAAAGAGCUCACUGGCUUCCUAGGUCAGAGUCUAUGAGUCAAGAGUCCCACAUUCUAUUACUUCCUCCCAUUCACCACAGGGGUCCACUGGCUUGCUACCUCCCCAAACAGCCUGCAACCUACUCACCUCUGUAUCCCCAGCACCUGAUAAGGGGGGGGGGUCUGUCCCUAGUGAAGACAUUGAAUAGCUGAGUAAAUAGGUAAACCAAAGGGCAGAUUGCAUUUGAGAAAAUAAAAAGGCUUGGGCCAACAACAAGCUGGCUCAGCAGGUAAAGGCACUUGCUGCCAAGCCUGAAGACCUGAAUUCAAUCCUUGGAAUCCACAGGAUGGAAGGAGAGAACUGAGAAGUGGUCCUCUGACCUCCUCGUGUUUGCUGUGGUGCAUGUGUACAUACAACCCCCCGAAAAAAG
Molecule: long non-coding RNA, 11368 nt
Organism: Peromyscus californicus insignis
Lineage: Eukaryota; Metazoa; Chordata; Mammalia; Rodentia; Cricetidae
Exons: 3
Source: RefSeq, a predicted model, not a curated record